Molecule: long non-coding RNA, 1400 nt
Filed under: Canis lupus familiaris (dog)
Lineage: Eukaryota; Metazoa; Chordata; Mammalia; Carnivora; Canidae
Description: lncRNA (ENSCAFG00000050088.1)
Source: RNAcentral
CGGCUUUGCAGCGGAGCUGGAGUGAGGGGCCGGGCAGAGAAGCCGACCCGCUGCGAUGCAGCCCGGGGCCUGUGCGCCGUCGGCCGCAGGCUUUGGGACAGGCCAUUUCUUCUACCUGGAACACUUUUCUAUCUCUCUCUUCACCUGGGUACAUUUUCAGUAUAGACAUCACUUUCCCGGCCAGCUCGUUCCAAGGUUUGCCUGGGUAAGAUGCUCCUCCUGUUGUUCCUGGACUACACCAUUAUUCCACAAGUUGCUAUCCCAUCGAUUACCAUACCAUUGUAAGCUAAAUUACACUGGUCAUACACCACACCAAGCUUGACUCUGUCAACCCUCCCUGUAGUGUUACAAUAGUUCAUGUAGAUAAUCUGAAUUAACAUAUGUGAAAAUUUUCUUCUGAAGAAAUGAUUUCUAGAAUUAAUUAUGAUAAAAUUACUUUCUAUUGGCAGGGUAUCUAAUGUUUUGCAAAUUACAUAAUAACACCAGCACCACCCUUUCAUGAAGAUGGCGCGAAAGUCAAAGAAGGAAGCUCCUGCCUCUCCCAGAGCCGAAGCCAAAGCAAAGGCUUUGAAAACAAGAAGGAGGUGCUGAAAGGCAUCCAAAGUCACACUAAGAAGAUCUGCACAUCACCUACAUUCCAACGAUCUAAGACCCUGUGUCUCCGAAGCCAGCCCGAAUACCCUGGAAAGAGCAUCCUUAGGAGAAUCAAGCUUGACCACUAUGCCAUCAAGAGCCUCCAGACUACUGAGUCAGCCAUGAAGAAGAUAGAAGACACCACACUUAUGCUCAUUGCGGAUGUCAAGGCCAAUAAGCACCAGAUCAGACAGACUGUGAAGAAACUCUACGAUAUUGAUUGGCCAAGGUCAACAGCUUGAUCAGGCCUGAUAGAGAGAAGGCCUGUAUUCGACUGACCAUGAGGCUUUGGAUGCCAAAAAAAUUAGGAUCAUUUAAACUGAGUCCAGUUGGCUAAAUAUAAAUAUAAUUUUUUUUUAUAAAAACCCCCACCAACACCAACUAUAGAAUUCACAAAUUUAUCUUAUUGUUAUCUUAUUGUCCUAAUAAACCUAGGAAGGUGGUUGCCUACAAAAUGAUUUGUAUUUUAAAUUUAUUAUUGUAGUGCUGCCCAGGUAGCUCAGCGGUUUAGUGCCAACUUCAGCCCAGGGCAUGAUCCUGGAGACCCGGGAUCGAGUCCCAUGUUGGGCUCCCUGCAUGGAGCCUGCUUCUCCCUCUGCCUGUCUCUGCCUCUCUCUCUCUCUCUCUCUCUCUCUCUCUCUGUGUCUCAUGAAUAAAUAAAUAAAAUCUUAAAAAAUAGAUUUAUUAUUGUAUUAAAAUAUAGAAUCACAGGGUAGAUAUGACUCCAAGAAGCAACCUUCCUGUAGUGCCUUUUUUUGUACUAGAAC